This 510-nucleotide ribosomal RNA is filed under the name uncultured bacterium. Its description in RNAcentral is "partial 16S ribosomal RNA". It matches the Rfam family "Bacterial small subunit ribosomal RNA", at positions 28 to 507 of the family's 1533-position model. The record is from RNAcentral.
GACGAACGCUGGCGGCGUGCUUAACACAUGCAAGUCGAACGAAGAGCGACGGAAGCUUGCUUCUAUCAAUCUUAGUGGCGAACGUGUGAGUAACGCGUAAUCAACCUGCCCUUCAGAGGGGGACAACAGUUGGAAACGACUGCUAAUACCGCAUACGAUCUAACCUCGGCAUCGAGGAUAGAUGAAAGGUGGCCUCUACAUGUAAGCUAUCACUGAAGGAGGGGAUUGCGUCUGAUUAGCUAGUUGGAGGGGUAACGGCCCACCAAGGCGAUGAUCAGUAGCCGGUCUGAGAGGAUGAACGGCCACAUUGGGACUGAGACACGGCCCAGACUCCUACGGGAGGCAGCAGUGGGGAAUCUUCCGCAAUGGACGAAAGUCUGACGGAGCAACGCCGCGUGAGUGAUGACGGCCUUCGGGUUGUAAAGCUCUGUUAAUCGGGAGGAAAGGCCUUCUUGCGAAUAGUGAGAAGGAUUGACGGUACCGGAAUAGAAAGCCACGGCUAACUACGUG